This 247-nucleotide ribosomal RNA is filed under the name uncultured delta proteobacterium. RNAcentral's name for it is "partial 16S ribosomal RNA". It matches the Rfam family "Bacterial small subunit ribosomal RNA", at positions 28 to 263 of the family's 1533-position model. The record is from RNAcentral. Lineage: Bacteria; Deltaproteobacteria.
GAUGAACGCUGGCGGUCUGCUUAACACAUGCAAGUCGUGCGAGAACAGUUCCUUCGGGAACCCAGUAGAGCGGCGCACGGGUGAGUAACGCGUGGAUAAUCUACCCAGAAGACUGGGAUAACAGUUGGAAACGACUGCUAAUACCGGAUACGUUUCAUAUUUAACUUAUGAGAGAAAGGUGGCCUCUGUUUCAAGCUAUCACUUUUGGAUGAGUCCGCGUUUCAUUAGCUAGUUGGUAAGGUAACGG